GCAGACCACAUCCGCGCAUGCGCUCAGCUCCCGCAGCCGCGGCGGGACUCCUUUCUUCAUGGCUACUCUGCUCCCUCCCGCCCAGAGUCUGCAGCCACCGCCUCCAGGCGCCUCCUUCCCACCCACCGCACCCCCUCUCAGCGGCAGGUGAAGGGGGAGAACAGUAAGCAUUGUCUUUGACUCAAGGAAGCCGCCUUGCCUAGAGAAAUAUAAGAUAUUAUACUCCCUUUGUAUUCAGUGAUUAUUCAGUGAUAGACAACUGAAUACUACGAAGCUUGAAUCCCAGCCAUCUUGUUUCAAGAAAACAAGAGUCUGAGUUCAAACCUGAAUACUGUCACUUACUGUGUAACUUUCAGCAUAUUGGUUACGCUUCAGACACCUCACUUUUUUC
Molecule: long non-coding RNA, 391 nt
Organism: Leopardus geoffroyi (Geoffroy's cat)
Lineage: Eukaryota; Metazoa; Chordata; Mammalia; Carnivora; Felidae
Exons: 3
Source: RefSeq, a predicted model, not a curated record